This 3004-nucleotide long non-coding RNA is filed under the name Triticum aestivum (bread wheat). RNAcentral's name for it is "long non-coding RNA (TAES_LNC011485)". The record is from RNAcentral. Lineage: Eukaryota; Viridiplantae; Streptophyta; Magnoliopsida; Poales; Poaceae.
UAAAAAAGACGCGCAAGAGGAUUAGUCCCCCAAACACCUAUAUUUUUCAUUAUUGGCAUCGAUCGGUUAAGAGCAAGUACAUGAAUACGGGCUUAGUUAGGCCUGAACACAGGAGGCCUUCGGGGGUCCACGCACGGCAAAGGGCACUUCUUGAACACGACCAUGAAAGGCUCGCGCCCAUCCUUUUCUUUCCGUACGGUCAGCCACUGCUCACCACGGUACUCAUACAAUACCAGAUCACGGCAUGGCGGCCUGUAGCACGAUACCAGCUUGUACCCUGUGCCAUGCCUCUCGACACGAAACCGGUACGACUGUUCUCUGCAUAUGGUUCCGUGCGUGCACUCUGGCAUCGCAGUCACCGGCGCCCCUAUAAAGUGGCCGACGGUCAUGUGCUGCUGGUGCGUUACGAACUCAUCCUCGAUGCGCCACUGGAGAUACAUCAUGCAUUGGUUAACCGUGUUGUUGAAGGCGAAUAUGACGUCAUUUGAGAGGCGAGGGGUGUAGCCAGCACCCACAUCCGCCGCCUGGACCAUCACGGGCUCUCCCAGGUAUCCGGACUGCCCGCACUGCCCAGCGGCUGCAUGGAGAGGGCUGUCGUAAGCCCACCAAGUGCCAGCGCUGAGACAACGGCCACUCAUGUUGCCGCUCGCCGGCAGCAUGAUGUGGUAGAGGCUAUCGAUCAUUAGCUCGUGGCCGUCCAUGUCGUAGACCGGCUGCGCUUGUGCCUGAGUGGCGCUGCACAGUGUGGCCAGCUGGGAGGCCAUGGCCAAGCCCAAGAGCGGGAGGAUGGGGACGUGACCAAAGCGGUCCAUGGCUAGCUAAGAAAGAAAAACGCGGUUGAGUACUUCUAUUUGAGUUGUUGGUGCUUUGAUAUCUUCGAGGACAUGAAGAUAGUGGGUUUAUAUAGAUGGUGUAAAAGGGACGAGACCUUAAUUAAUCAGUGACAUUCCGCGGUGCGUCGACCGGCCCCUCAAGCGUCGGUUGAAUCCCCUGGACCGCCGGUUCCCUCGUGUCGACUCCCUCGAGCGCUAGAUACCACCCGUGGCUGGCCUCCGCUGAUCCUCUCGACCGUCAGUUCCCUCUAGCGUCGCCUUGGCUUGGUGCUAAAUGGGCCAUUGAAGCCCAAUCAACGCAACGGCAGGCCUUCAAAACAAAAAAGCUGCCCAUUAGGACAGACGGCCUAAUCGCGGUAAACUGGCACUAAAACAAUGAUCUGACAGCCAGAAACAAUCUAAAUGCGUGAUCCAACGGUUAAAACUGCUGAGGGUGUGAGAGAGCUCACUUUAGACUCGGUUUUACUGUCCUAAAUAAAUAGUGAGGUUUUGACCUAAGGCGAGGGAAAUAAUGCUUGGUGAUUGUGAGCGAGUGACAACUGGGUUGGGUCAGAUGGCCGCGUGCAUUACGGGCUGUUUGACUCCUUAAUUAUUUUUAAAUAAAUGGGACUUUUAAAAAUAUGCUGGAGGUAACGAAUUAGUUUUGGUUCUUAACUAUGAAUUUUCAAACGCUCUCAUAUGUAAACAUUUUGGAUGUCAACCCUUCAUAAAUCAUGACAAUAGUUUAUAACAGAGUCUCUAUCGUGACACGGGACAAACAUAAGAAAGUAAAUGGCUUAGGAAAAAUAAAUUAAUAUGAGCUACUUUUAAUAGUUGUUUUCUGAACUUGUUUCAAGGGGUGACUAUAUAAUAUUUUACACCAUCAUUUAACUACGCUAAAUAUUGCAAUCUAAGCAGAUAGUUGAGACGUGCCAUUGGAAGAAAAAUGUAUAAAAUAUUAUAAACGCCCAAAACUCAGGAUUUGGUUUACCAAGCUUAGCAAGGUCUUACAAAGAACUGUUCUAUCCCAGACUUAACAGUACAAAGGUUACUCUUCAUAUCCUAUAGAAAACAUCAACACCCACAGGAAGAUAGUGGAAAUGCAAAGUAACAGAAAUCAGAAAAGAAGCUUGAACUUUACAAAUACCUGGAUCUGUUUCUUUUGUAGCUCGAAAUGUAUAUCUGCCUUUGCCUGUAUAUCUUUUGCCACCCUAUCACCGUUCACCAGCACAGCAGCACUGACAUCUCCCGUACUACCCACAGAAUUGUGAUCUUCGCCGUCCAUCUUCACAUUAUUAGUGACGGUGGCCUCCCUCACAUUGCUCACCUCUUGGGCCAUCUGGAACGAACGUAAUGCGAGGGUGUUGCCCCACAAAAGUGCCCCGCCAUUUGUAAUCCUAGCCCUCAUCAAAGAGGAGGAGGCACUUUGGGUCGCCGUCGGUGCUAAGAAGUUGAGUUCAAUCAUGCCGGGAGAGUAGUCCCUUUGUAAGGCGGUGUUGUAAUCCCUGAAACUCUUUCUUCUCUCUUAAUUAAUAUAUGAGGCAAAUCUUUUGCCUCCUUUAAAAAAAAAACAUUAUUAGUGACACAACUGUUGUCUUCUUCGUCCGUCUUCACAUGAUUAGUGACAGACUCGUGAUCUUGUUCGUCCAUCUUUACAUUAUUAGCGAGUCAAUGAAAAAUACUUGGUUAUUUAUCCAUUUCAGCCAUGGAAAAGGGAAUAAAUUUCAUUUCAACAGUAUGUUAGAUAUGUGAAGAUAACAAUAGGCUACAGCCCACAGAAAUAGAUACCUUCCCAUGAUCGCUGGUGGAAGUUGCCUCCAUUUCGUGUGGUGUGUCUGAUGACUCUGUUUUAGAUAAUGAGCUACUGUCAUUAGGAUCUAUAGUGUAUUAUUCUUCUUUUUUUUUGGAAAUGAAGGCAUGCCCCCGGCCUCUGCAUCAUGAUGAUGCAUACGCCCUCUUAUAAAAAUCCAGAAAGUAGCGUCAUGAUUGUCUUACAGCUCGCAAACGGAGCAAAACAGAAAAAGCAAAAACUGAAAAAAUACAAGCUGGCAAAGACAACCGGAGCGGUAAAAAUAAGGAUAAGCUCUCUAGACUCUUAUCCUAUUGUGCGAACGCCAUCCGAACCGGUUGAAUAUACCCCGAGCCACCAUCUCCCAUUGGUUGCACCCAGUAACCAAAGGCUCCCUGGAGUC